Molecule: ribosomal RNA, 408 nt
Filed under: uncultured bacterium
Lineage: Bacteria
Description: partial 16S ribosomal RNA
Rfam family: Bacterial small subunit ribosomal RNA
Source: RNAcentral
GACGAACGCUGGCGGCGUGCCUAACACAUGCAAGUCGAACGGAGUGGCGAAUGGGUGAGUAACACGUGGGUGCUCUGCCUUGCACUCCGGGAUAAGCUUGGGAAACUGGGUCUAAUACCGGAUAGUGCAAGAUGAGCUCGCGGCCUAUCAGCUUGUUGGUGGGGUAAUGGCCUACCAAGGCGUCGACGGGUAGCCGACCUGAGAGGGUGUACGGCCGCAUUGUGACUGAGGUACGGCCCAGGCUCCUACGGGGGGCAGCAGUGGGAAAUAUUGCACAAUGGGCGGAAGCCUGAUGCGGCGACGCCGCGUGGGGGAUGAAGGCCUUCGGGUUGUAAACUCCUUUCGACAGGGACGCGGUACCUGUAUAAGAAGCACCGGCUAACUACGUGCCAGCAGCCGCGGUAAUUC